RNAcentral lists this ribosomal RNA (245 nucleotides) under uncultured Barnesiella sp. RNAcentral describes it as "partial 16S ribosomal RNA". It matches the Rfam family "Bacterial small subunit ribosomal RNA", at positions 524 to 769 of the family's 1533-position model. The record is from RNAcentral. Lineage: Bacteria; Pseudomonadati; Bacteroidota; Bacteroidia; Bacteroidales; Barnesiellaceae.
UACGGAGGAUGCGAGCGUUAUCCGGAUUUAUUGGGUUUAAAGGGUGCGUAGGCGGCCUGCCAAGUCAGCGGUAAAAUUGCGGGGCUCAACCCCGUACAGCCGUUGAAACUGCCGGGCUCGAGUGGGCGAGAAGUAUGCGGAAUGCGUGGUGUAGCGGUGAAAUGCAUAGAUAUCACGCAGAACCCCGAUUGCGAAGGCAGCAUACCGGCGCCCUACUGACGCUGAGGCACGAAAGUGCGGGGAUC